UCCCAUAUAGGCUAUUACAGAGUAUUGAGUAGAGCUUCCUGAGCUGCAGAGUAGGUUCUCAUUAGUCAUCUAUUUCCUGACUCUCUUUUAAAACAAAGCACUGACCUUAGUACAACCUGUGUGAAUGAGGGUGGAUGCUUCCUUGAGCAGGCUUUAACAAGGAGAAUCAGGAUACGUGAAACUAAGCGACUCAGCCUUCCUGACAAUUCUAAGAGCAUCUGUCUACAGGGAAUAACACAGUGCUGAUUCCUCCAGAGACAGGACAGUCACCUCAUCCUGGAGGAACUUCAGGAUCUUCCGAAUUUCCCGCCUUGGAUCCUGCAUGUGGAACAGUCACAAAAAGUCAGCAAAUUGAAGCUGAGUAAUCAGAAUUGAGGAAGCUCCAGCUGGAUGGGGACCUGCUGAAAUGCUUCCAGUCUGGAGUCAGAUGUCCGAGUGGGAGUGAAGGCCACAUGCUCACAUAUUCUGAGUCCACGAUCCAUCUGUGAUCCUUGUGACGAUGCUCCAGGCUGUCCAGGUAACCAGAAGAUCUUCGGUCUCAAGAUGCUCGACUUAAUCACACCUGCCAAGCACACUCUACAGACAGGUCGGAGAUGAAACACAGCAGAAGCCAGUUCUCCUGGAGUGGGCAGACCUGACCCAGGGGUGAGGUUCCUGGUCACUGGAGGCCAGCUGUCCUCAACCCUGCCUCCCCUGUGUGGAACAUUCCUGCCUACUCGAGUCCUCGAGAAAUCACAGGAGACGUGCUGUCUGAAGCUGCCCAGUCCUGUAUUUCAGCAGAGGGACUGAGGGGUCUUUUCUCACAGCUGACGGAGGUUAUGACUUCAUUCUUACACAUCUUAGUGGACCUAUUACAUGUUGCUGGCGUUUCUGACUUCAGAACUUUGCAGGUGGCACUCAGCCGGCUCUGCUCCAUUUACCCUUUCCCCAGGCGCAAGCGGCCAGCCCAUCCCUCUCCUGGCCACUUGCUCGUCCUCCUCCACAGGGGCUGAGCUGACGGGGAAGGACCCCAGGUGGCUCACCAACCUUGAUCUCUGCUCCUGUGUGCUGGCCCCGAGGACUCCUUGCAGGCUCUUCUUCCACCUGUGUCCUGAAGCCCGGACCUGUGCCUGUGGAGGAGGCUGGGGAGCAGCUCCUCUCUGGUCCUGCCCCUUGGUUCCCUUGAAAUAGGACCUGCUUAAGUUUAAUUGAACUACCUGGGUGCUUACACAAAACUGCUGUAUAAAAUGUUCUUGCAGGAACUUCCCUGGUGGUCCAGUGGCUAAGACUCUGCACACCCAACGCAGGGGGUCCCCGGUUCAAUCCCGGGUCAGGGGACAAGAUCCCGCAUUCCACAAUUAAGACCUAGCACAGCCAAAUAAAUAAAUAAAUAUCUAAAAAAUGUCCUUGCAGUCAGACUGCCUGUGCCCUUGCACAUUUGCUAAAAUCUGUUUGUUUUAUUCAUUUUUAAGUGCUUUACUUGUAUCACUAUGAUUUAAAAAUCCUCCUCUCAGUCUUGCCAGAUAGCUGCCAUCAUUACCUGUUUUACAGGGAAGAAAUAAGAAUCCUGGAGAGUAAGCCACCAGAGCCCAGAAUAACUCAGGGGUUUGAAUCCAGCUGGUCAAGGUUCAAAACCUCAUAGCCACUACUUUGUUCUUCCCACGAUGAGGUGAGGGCAGGGGUCCUAUGGUUCCAGGUCUUCAUUCCAGUCUUUAAAACCCGCUUGAAGUUGAUUUUUGUCCAGUGCGAGAAAGUGUUCCCGUUUCAUUCCUUUGCCUAUGGGGUCAACUGUCAGAUGUAGAAGCGGAGACCUAAGUAGGCAGUUAGAUUGACAAUUCAGAAAUUCAGCGCUCAAGUCUGGGAUGGCGGCCAGCAGAGGGCAGUGAUGAGCUUUCUGGGCAGAAAUGUCCCCAGUGAGUCUAAAACCUGAAGAGGAGGACAGAGACUGCACAGUGAGGAUGGAGUUCAAAGGGCAAGUUUUGAAGAAAUCCUGAGCUGAACUAAGACACUGGUUUGAAGCUAAAACUCUCCACCAGAUGAAACAAAGGGAAUGGAGAUGAGGUUCAGGGGGAGGGAUGUAGAAGCAGUUCCCCACGGACUGAGGUCACCCGCUCGGUCCCUGGACCACACCCUCCUCUCUUCUCCUGGAAAGGUCUGUUCGGGGGUCUUGGAGCCCCUCCCCUCAUUACUCUUUGGCUGCAUAACUGCCCUUUGUGCAUGCCCUCUUGGGGUUCCCUCCACUCACCCCCACUGUUGUGAACAGGCAUGUGGAAAACAACCCACUUGUCUCUAAUUCGAGGGUGCAUUCUCAUUCUUUUUGGGGGUGUCUUGCUUAAUACACAGGACUGUUAAUUACCUGCAGCAUGAAACACCUAGGGAUGAUUUAAUAAAAGACAUGCAGGACUAAUGUUAAUUUCUAUAAGACAUUUUGAGAGAAUUAAAGAGACCUAAACAAAUGGGAAAAUACACCAUGUUCAUAAUUUGAAAGAUGAAAUAUUGAGACGUCAGUUCCUCAGAACUGAUCUAUAGACUCAGCGCUGUCCUGAUCAAAAUCUUGGCAGAGGCUCACGUGCAUGCACAGGCAUGUGUGGGUGUGUAAAAGCGUUUGCAAGGAUGGAGUGGAGUGACUGGAAUUUUUAUAUACUUCUUGUCAGAAAACACAGAGUUCACUAAAUUUCAGCAUUUGCAUAAUUCAGAUUUCAGCAUUUCCAUUCCUAAGAAUAUAAACAACAGAAAGGCACACACAUUCAUCAAAAGUAUACAUAUAUUUAUAGGAAUGAUCACAGCAGUGCAGUAGCUAUGCAGUAGCCAAAAUCAAGAAACCACGUAAAUAUCCAUCAACAGUAGAACGUGUGAAGUUGGUUAUAUUUACCCAAUGGAAUAAUAUCCAUCACUGAGGAUGAAUGGGCCAUGCAACCAUAUAGAUGAAUCUCAUGUAUGUUAUGUUGGGUGAUAUUACGCUGAAGCCAGGCACAAAUGGGUAUAUCUUUUGUAAUUCUAUACAAAAGAUAAUAAUUUAAUGCCAAAUAGGGGUAAAAAACCUAAUGCACAGUGUUAGGAGAGUGGGGAAUAUUGAAGAGGAUGGUUGUUUCUGAUGUGGUAGAAAUAUUCUAUCUCUUGAUCUGGGUGCUGAUGAUGAGGAUGUACUCCCUUAAGAUUCAUUAUCUUACACUUA
Molecule: long non-coding RNA, 3154 nt
Organism: Capra hircus (goat)
Lineage: Eukaryota; Metazoa; Chordata; Mammalia; Artiodactyla; Bovidae
Exons: 9
Source: RefSeq, a predicted model, not a curated record